UUGUGCCCCUACGUAGAUGUGCGACGGAGUCCGUAGUGGGUGCGAAGUGUUUCAGACGUCCAUCGCACCGCAUGACAUGGUUCAUGCGGCCCGAACACGGGAGAGAACGCUGAGCGUUACGUU
RNAcentral lists this non-coding RNA (123 nucleotides) under Corynebacterium caspium DSM 44850. Its description in RNAcentral is "atpB RNA". It matches the Rfam family "atpB RNA". The record is from RNAcentral. Lineage: Bacteria; Bacillati; Actinomycetota; Actinomycetes; Mycobacteriales; Corynebacteriaceae.